This 481-nucleotide ribosomal RNA is filed under the name uncultured bacterium. Its description in RNAcentral is "partial 16S ribosomal RNA". It matches the Rfam family "Bacterial small subunit ribosomal RNA", at positions 28 to 507 of the family's 1533-position model. The record is from RNAcentral.
GAUGAACGCUGGCGGCGUGCUUAACACAUGCAAGUCGAACGAAGCACUUUAUUUGAUUUCCUUCGGGACUGAUUAUUUUGUGACUGAGUGGCGGACGGGUGAGUAACGCGUGGGUAACCUGCCUUGUACAGGGGGAUAACAGUUGGAAACGGCUGCUAAUACCGCAUAAGCGCACGGCAUCGCAUGAUGCAGUGUGAAAAACUCCGGUGGUAUAAGAUGGACCCGCGUUGGAUUAGCUAGUUGGUGAGGUAACGGCCCACCAAGGCGACGAUCCAUAGCCGACCUGAGAGGGGGACCGGCCACAUUGGGACUGAGACACGGCCCAAACUCCUACGGGAGGCAGCAGUGGGGAAUAUUGCACAAUGGGCGAAAGCCUGAUGCAGCGACGCCGCGUGAGCGAAGAAGUAUUUCGGUAUGUAAAGCUCUAUCAGCAGGGAAGAUAAUGACGGUACCUGACUAAGAAGCACCGGCUAAAUACGUG